This is a non-coding RNA of Lupinus angustifolius (narrow-leaved blue lupine), 119 nucleotides long. NCBI's taxonomy places the organism in Eukaryota, Viridiplantae, Streptophyta, Magnoliopsida, Fabales, Fabaceae. The record is from Rfam.
AGGUGCCAUCAUACCAGCACUAAUGCACCGGAUCUCAUCAAAAUUUCGCAGUUUAGUGUGCUUGGGCGAGUAUAGUACUAGGAUGGGUGACCUCCUGGAAAGUCCUCGUGUUGCACCUC